CUGACGCUCAUGCACGAAAGCGUGGGGAGCAUACAGGAUUAGAUACCCUGGUAGUCCACGCCCUAAACGAUGCUGACUAGUUGUUCGGGAUUUACAUCCUGAGUAACGUAGCUAACGCGUGAAGUCAGCCGCCUGGGGAGUACGGUCGCAAGAUUAAAACUCAAAGGAAUUGACGGGGACCCGCACAAGCGGUGGAUGAUGUGGAUUAAUUCGAUGCAACGCGAAAAACCUUACCUACCCUUGACAUGUCACUAACGAAGUAGAGAUACAUUAGGUGCUCGUAAGAGAAAGUGAACACAGGUGCUGCAUGGCUGUCGUCAGCUCGUGUCGUGAGAUGUUGGGUUAAGUCCCGCAACGAGCGCAACCCUUGUCUUUAGUUGCUACGCAAGAGCACUCUAAAGAGACUGCCGGUGACAAACCGGAGGAAGGUGGGGAUGACGUCAAGUCCUCAUGGCCCUUAUGGGUAGGGCUUCACACGUCAUACAAUGGUGCAUACAGAGGGUUGCCAACCCGCGAGGGGGAGCUAAUCUCAGAAAAUGCAUCGUAGUCCGGAUCGUAGUCUGCAACUCGACUACGUGAAGCUGGAAUCGCUAGUAAUCGCGGAUCAGAAUGUCGCGGUGAAUACGUUCCCGGGUCUUGUACACACCGCCCGUCAUACCAUGGGAGUGGGUUUUGCCAGAAGCCGUUAGCCUAACCGCAAGGAGGCGACUGC
Molecule: ribosomal RNA, 712 nt
Filed under: uncultured beta proteobacterium
Lineage: Bacteria; Pseudomonadati; Pseudomonadota; Betaproteobacteria
Description: bacterial SSU rRNA
Rfam family: Bacterial small subunit ribosomal RNA
Source: RNAcentral